GAUGAAGAACGCAGCGAAAUGCGAUACGUAAUGUGAAUUGCAGAAUUCAGUGAAUCAUCGAGUCUUUGAACGCACAUUGCGCCCCCUGGUAUUCCGGGGGGCAUGCCUGUCCGAGCGUCAUUGCUGCCCUCAAGCACGGCUUGUGUGUUGGGCCUCCGUCCUCCUCCCGGGGGACGGGCCCGAAAGGCAGCGGCGGCACCGCGUCCGGCCCUCGAGCGCAUGGGGCUUCGUCACCCGCUCUUGUAGGCCCGGCCGGCGCUUGCCGACACAUCAAUCUUUUUUCCAGGUUGACCUCGGAUCAGGUAGGGAUACCCGCUGAACUUAAGCAUAUCAAUAAGCGGAGGA
Molecule: unclassified non-coding RNA, 345 nt
Filed under: soil metagenome
Description: partial contains 5.8S ribosomal RNA, internal transcribed spacer 2, and large subunit ribosomal RNA
Rfam family: 5.8S ribosomal RNA (bases 1-120)
Source: RNAcentral